CCUACGGGAGGCAGCAGUGAGGAAUAUUGGUCAAUGGGCGGGAGCCUGAACCAGCCAAGCCGCGUGAAGGAAGAAGGCGCCACGCGUCGUAAACUUCUUUUGUCGGGGAACAAAGGGCGCCACGUGUGGCGUUCUGAGUGUACCCGAAGAAAAAGCAUCGGCUAACGCCGUGCCAGCAGCCGCGGUAAUACGGAGGAUGCGAGCGUUAUCCGGAUUUAUGGGGUUGAAAGGGUGCGUAGGCGGUCCGGAAAGUCAGCGGUAAAAGCCCGGGGCUCAACCCCGGCGGGCCGUUGAAACUGUGGGACUAGAGACGGCGAGAAGUAGGCGGAAUGCGCGGUGUAGCGGUGAAAUGCAUAGAUAUCGCGCAGAACUCCGAUUGCGAAGGCAGCGUACCGGCGCCGGACUGACGCUGAGGCACGAAAGCGUGGGGAUCGAACAGGAUUAGAUACCCCAGUAGUC
This 459-nucleotide ribosomal RNA is filed under the name uncultured bacterium. RNAcentral describes it as "partial 16S ribosomal RNA". It matches the Rfam family "Bacterial small subunit ribosomal RNA", at positions 338 to 795 of the family's 1533-position model. The record is from RNAcentral.